RNAcentral lists this ribosomal RNA (228 nucleotides) under uncultured bacterium. RNAcentral describes it as "partial 16S ribosomal RNA". It matches the Rfam family "Bacterial small subunit ribosomal RNA", at positions 471 to 698 of the family's 1533-position model. The record is from RNAcentral.
GACGGUUCCUGAAAAAUAAGCCCCGGCUAACUACUUGCCAGCAGCCCCGGUAAUACCUAAGGUGCUAGCGUUAAUCCGAAUUACUGGGCGUAAAGCGUGCGCAGGCGGUUAUACAAGACAGGAGUGAAAUCCCCGGGCUUAACCUGGGAAUGUGGUCUGUGACUGGAUAGCUUGAGUGUGUCAAAGGGGGGUGGAAUUCCACGUGUAACAAUGAAAUGCGUAAAUUUU